AUUACCGAGAAGGAGAAAAAAAGAAAAAAGUAAAGGAAGUGAAAUAGUCGGUACUCCAAAAUUUCUCGUCCAACGACAUGCACCCGUUUGCUACGUUAUACGAGGACUGAAGUUGUCUCUCUGUGGUCUUUGUAACAUCCCGUCACGAAGAGGAUCGGUUAUCUUGCCUAAAAGUUAAGUUCCUUGAGUCUUUUCGGCCCGGAAGCUACAGGCGAAUUGCUCUCCAAUUGCUCCGAUCCUUGACAUUGCAGGAUGCAGGAUAAUGCGGCGGGGUCACGCACGCGCCAGAUGGACACUGAACUACCCUGACUGACUGUCUGUCUGAGUGACUGCCUGCCACGGAGGAGUCUUCGCGAUCCAGCUGGUGGUUCGUCUGGUACCCCAAGCUAUCCAGAUACACUUUAAAGAACCAUUUUAAAGAACUAAUUAUCCUCUACUGAUACAUCCGUUUUAAUAGGAAUUAAUAGUUAUCUUCUCACAGGGAGAAAAGUUUUUUUCAAGUGGUGACCCAAAAACAUGCGAAAAUGUAAGGUACGCAUGAAAUACGUACUAACCAAGAUGAGACCUUGCGUGUGCGCUGGGAUAGGGUUACCCUAUCGAUAUCGAAUUAUACGCUGUCUUGAAUUGAUACCUUCAAAAAAAGUGAUGCGGUCUAGUCUAGUGCCAGAGGAUACCAGUAGAGAAAUAAAGAGAGGCAGAAUAGCUGAUAAAGGCCGUGUCACGCAGAAGGAUAGACGAAGAAGAUCAAGAAGAGUAAAAAGGGAGAAUGAUCAGGUAACAUCCGAGUAAUUCGUACCCUGAGCAAAAGGAGGAGACUGACCACGCGAGCUGUAGUAGAUUUUGCCUUGCAUCUGGAAGAAGAAGCCUUUUGUGCGGUUUGCAUUUGCAAAGGGAUGAUUGGCAUAAGACAGCUACUGUCUUUUUGGAGGUUAGGUACGAAGACUUUGGUAUUUACAGGGUCAAAGAUUUGUCAGUGCCAGAACGACUGAAUGAUACACCACUUGAAUGAUACUCAAUAUGGUUGUUUGGUAAAUAUAAAGCAUCUAAGGGCGUGACGGAAGCUGAGUAUUAAGAAACGUUAAACUCUUGCAAAAGGCAUGGAGAAGAUGAAUGUGAAGAAAAAGAAGAAAUAUACAAAAAGGAUAUAUACAUAUAUAUACACAUCAAGGAUUUCCUAGAAGGUCGUUAGGUGUUCACAAGGUCUUAGUUCAGCCAUUCCAAGAGGAUCCGGUCGAUGCGUCAACGUUACGUUUCAAUCUCGACGCAAAGAGUGCAGCAGGCAUAUCUACAGUGCCCAUUGACGUACCGACUUCCCAUCACGCCAACCAUCCAUGCGAGACUCUCACAAGCGUACUAGCCUCUACCCUGGAAAGACAAUGAAAAAAGUAUAAUAAAAGAUCUAAGAGAUAUUUAGAGUAUCAUUGACAAAAGUCUCUGCCGGGAUUUAUUUGAAAAUUGAAUAACAUCAAUAGCCGUCAUGAAGUUUCUCUCUUUGAGCGGAACGGAAGCGGAACGGAUGAGAGUAACAGAGAGCAUUCUCUCUUUCCGCUUUUGGAGCACGGUCUCGAAGUGCCAGAGAUCCGACGUACUGACAAUAGGUUAAAGGAAUAUCCUCUUAUGCGCGCGAAUUACACGGCUGGUCACACCCGAAUGGCUAUCAAUCACUUUCCUGAGCCGUUGCUGCCGCUUGGUAACCGAUAUUCCUACAUUCCAAUAUAUCUGUAUUGGAAUACAGCGAAAUGGCUACUAUGCGAAUGACGUACCAUUGCCGAGGUCGAGAGUCCAGAGACCCGUGGCCAGCAGCUCUGGAGAGCGCUAAACAUAUACCUAUAGCACUCAAUGUACUUAAGUGCCUUCAAAGAACGCCGCCAUACUUGAAAACUAUUACAGCUUAACGAUUACGUUAUCUUUAACCAUCAUUGAUCGUUAUCCAAUCCUCCUGCAAUGGAUACCCCUCCUACAGUCUUGAAUGGGCAUCCUUUAUUGAGGUAUUGCCAUUAUUUUUCUCUUUUUUUACAUCACUUUGGCACUUUCAAAGACAUUAUAUUCAUAGUAAUG
Long non-coding RNA from Cephus cinctus (wheat stem sawfly), 2058 nucleotides. RefSeq lists it as uncharacterized. NCBI's taxonomy places the organism in Eukaryota, Metazoa, Arthropoda, Insecta, Hymenoptera, Cephidae. The record is from RefSeq and is a predicted model, not a curated record. The transcript is spliced from 8 exons.